CGGAGGAUACACGUCUAUGCGCCCGAUCCGUUUCACACGGCAGGACAUCGUCAAGUACUUUACAUACAAACAUUUAUAACAAACCAGGUGUAACGGUAACCAAAACAAACAGCGAAAAAUUCGUUCAAUUAAAAAGUACUUAAUUAAUUCAUGUGAGUGCGUGCGUAAGAAGUUUUAAGUGAAUUGGUUUGUGGAAAUUACUGACUAAAAUACGUUGGGAAUGAUGUUAAGGCUUAAUGAAAGUAUAGCAACUUACGAGAUUCCCGGGAUCAAGAUCAAGCGGAGUAUAGUGAGAAUUUGAGGUAAAUCGCCGUGUGGGGGAUGACGCUGGGCGGUGAAGACGAACGGUGCGGCGCGGGGUGAGCUAGCUCGGG
This is a long non-coding RNA of Ostrinia nubilalis (European corn borer), 374 nucleotides long. RefSeq lists it as uncharacterized. NCBI's taxonomy places the organism in Eukaryota, Metazoa, Arthropoda, Insecta, Lepidoptera, Crambidae. The record is from RefSeq and is a predicted model, not a curated record. The transcript is spliced from 3 exons.